RNAcentral lists this long non-coding RNA (1378 nucleotides) under Homo sapiens (human). RNAcentral describes it as "long intergenic non-protein coding RNA 616". The record is from RNAcentral. Lineage: Eukaryota; Metazoa; Chordata; Mammalia; Primates; Hominidae.
GUGACAUCAUUAGCUUUUCUUGGGAUCUCAAAGGACCCUGUGCAGCAGGCCACUAUUUGAAUGUGUGUUGCUCCUUGUGGCAGGUAUACUGUUCCAAUGCCCUGGGAUCUCUGUAGUGGUCGGUACUGUAUUGAUUAUAAAUGGUGAAGUCCUAGUAUCUUGCUAGAGUGAGCUGGCCAGGAUGGUGGAGCUCUACCACCAUUUCACAGGUUAUAGACAGGGGCCACCAGGUUUCAGGAAAGCAGCAAUGACCCCUCAGUAAUAGUUGGAAAGUGUGAUAUGACACUGAGCUUCACUGUGUUGGUGAAGAAGAGGUGAGGAAAAUAAAAGCUGCAGUUUGCCUCCACCUCUGAAGAAGCACAAUACACCUUUCUGGGUUACCAAUGGGAUACUUCCCAACAGCUUUGUCAUCACAUACAAUAUUCUCAAACAAGAUCUUAAUGGCAUCUACUUUCUCCAGGAACACAGCCCCUGACCUGUGUGUGUUUGCGUAGAGAAGGCAUGCUAUGUACCCCCUAGGAUAUCAAGAUUCCUGUAGCAGAUUGAGCUCUGGCAGUUGAUCUCAGUGGCUUGAUAGAGUGUCAUUAUAAAAACGCACCUGGAAGAUUCUGUGGAAAAGACAACCUCAGAAGACCAAGAGGCUGACUUUGCAAGAGAGAGUCCGUUUACCACUUAGAACCGUGAACACCACCCCCGCCCUCAUUUAUCUCCAGACUUGAACUAGUGGUUAAAUCCCAACAUGUCCCAGAGAAGUCAAAAGCAUUGUAAAAUCUGGGAAUCUGCCCACCACUCAAGCCUGGGAAAGCUGGCAGAGGAUGCACGUGUUUUACUCACCUGAGUGUUUACAAUGCUCGUGAGGUGCCUCCCUGAUAGUACAGAGGAAUGAAGAAGGAAUAAACAGACCUUCUGGAUAAUUGCAUCAGCCUUCCCCACUAUUCCAAUGCCAUGCUAACAUUUCAAGUAAUGUCCCUUUUGUCUUGCUGAGAAAAAAUCAUUUCAUGAUUUAUUACACUGGAUUAAAGGCUAUGCACACUCUGGAGUUGGAACAUGACUGAAGGGCAAGCAAGCAUAAAGGAUAUCAGAAACAGUUGAUGUGUUUAAAUUUUUCUGAAUUUCUCAAGUAAACUUUUUAGAAAGUAGUCUGAAGAUAAAAUGGUUAUAUAAGUUACUUAAACUGUAGAUGAUGGCACCUUUAUCCCUAUAUAAUAAAAUUAAGAUUUGUAGGUUAAACCUUGGAUAUUCCCAUCUGAGCAUCUGUACCAAACAGAAAAGACCUGUGUGAGUUCCUGAGAACCAGUGCUCAUUCCAGAAGAGACAGGUUUCUCUCCAGGAAGAAAUGUCUGAAAUUCAGUGAAUUAAAAUCCUCAUUGAGUCUUCC